This 333-nucleotide ribosomal RNA is filed under the name uncultured eukaryote. Its description in RNAcentral is "partial 18S ribosomal RNA". It matches the Rfam family "Eukaryotic small subunit ribosomal RNA", at positions 1470 to 1796 of the family's 1831-position model. The record is from RNAcentral.
CCCUUAGAUGUCCGGGGCCGCACGCGCGCUACACUGAAGGAAUCAGCGUGGCUUUCUCCCUGACCCGAAAGGGUUGGGAAACCCGUUGAAUCUCCUUCGUGAUAGGGAUUGGGGCUUGAAAUUGUUCCCCAUGAACGAGGAAUUCCCAGUAAGCGCGAGUCAUAAGCUCGCGUUGAUUACGUCCCUGCCCUUUGUACACACCGCCCGUCGCUACUACCGAUUGAACGGUUUAGUGAGGGCCUCGGAUGGUCUCGGCCCGCUCUUUACCGGGCGGCGCCGUUGGUCGAGAAGACGCUCGAACUUGAUCGUUUAGAGGAAGUAAAAGUCGUAACA